CCUACGGGUGGCUGCAGUCGAGAAUCUUCGGCAAUGGGCGCAAGCCUGACCGAGCGACGCCGCGUGCGGGAUGAAGGUCUUCGGAUUGUAAACCGCUGUCGGAGGGGAUGAAAUGCCGGUGGGUCCUCCCACCGGUUUGACAGAGCCUCGGAGGAAGCACGGGCUAAGUUCGUGCCAGCAGCCGCGGUAAUACGAACUGUGCGAACGUUAUUCGGAAUCACUGGGCUUAAAGGGUGCGUAGGCGGCGGCACAAGUCAGGUGUGAAAUCCCCCGGC
Molecule: ribosomal RNA, 275 nt
Filed under: uncultured Planctomyces sp.
Lineage: Bacteria; Pseudomonadati; Planctomycetota; Planctomycetia; Planctomycetales; Planctomycetaceae
Description: partial 16S ribosomal RNA
Rfam family: Bacterial small subunit ribosomal RNA
Source: RNAcentral